GACGAACGCUGGCGGCGUGCUUAACACAUGCAAGUCGAACGGUAAGGCCCUUCGGGGUACACGAGUGGCGAACGGGUGAGUAACACGUGGGUGAUCUGCCCUGCACUUCGGGAUAAGCCUGGGAAACUGGGUCUGAUACCGGAUAGGACCACUGCCUGCAUGGGUGGUGGUGGAAAGCUUUUGCGGUGUGGGAUGGGCCCGCGGCCUAUCAGCUUGUGGGUGGGGUGAUGGCCUACCAAGGCGACGACGGGUAGCCGGCCUGAGAGGGUGACCGGCCACACUGGGACUGAGAUACGGCCCAGACUCCUACGGGAGGCAGCAGUGGGGAAUAUUGCACAAUGGGCGCAAGCCUGAUGCAGCGACGCCGCGUGAGGGAUGACGGCCUUCGGGUUGUAAACCUCUUUCAGCACCGACGAAGCGUAAGUGACGGUAGGUGCAGAAGAAGGACCGGCCAACUACGUGCCAGCCGCCGCGGUAA
RNAcentral lists this ribosomal RNA (478 nucleotides) under uncultured bacterium. RNAcentral describes it as "partial 16S ribosomal RNA". It matches the Rfam family "Bacterial small subunit ribosomal RNA", at positions 28 to 523 of the family's 1533-position model. The record is from RNAcentral.